This 429-nucleotide ribosomal RNA is filed under the name Acidobacteriota bacterium. RNAcentral's name for it is "Acidobacteria bacterium partial 16S ribosomal RNA". It matches the Rfam family "Bacterial small subunit ribosomal RNA", at positions 355 to 776 of the family's 1533-position model. Lineage: Bacteria; Pseudomonadati; Acidobacteriota. The record is from RNAcentral.
UGGGGAAUUUUGGACAAUGGGGGAAACCCUGAUCCAGCCAUCCCGCGUGUGCGAUGAAGGCCUUCGGGUUGUAAAGCACUUUUGGCAGGAAAGAAACGUCAUGGGUUAAUACCCCGUGAAACUGACGGUACCUGCAGAAUAAGCACCGGCUAACUACGUGCCAGCAGCCGCGGUAAUACGUAGGGUGCAAGCGUUAAUCGGAAUUACUGGGCGUAAAGCGUGCGCCGGCGGUUCGGAAAGAAAGAUGUGAAAUCCCAGAGCUCAACUUUGGAACUGCAUUUUUAACUACCGGGCUAGAGUGUGUCAGAGGGAGGUGGAAUUCCGCGUGGAGCAGUGAAAUGCGUAGAUAUGCGGAGGAACACCGAUGGCGAAGGCAGCCUCCUGGGAUAACACUGACGCUCAUGCACGAAAGCGUGGGGAGCAAACAGG